This 76-nucleotide transfer RNA is filed under the name Novosphingobium aerophilum. Its description in RNAcentral is "tRNA-Ile". It matches the Rfam family "tRNA". From Rfam's summary of the family: Transfer RNA (tRNA) molecules are approximately 80 nucleotides in length. Lineage: Bacteria; Pseudomonadati; Pseudomonadota; Alphaproteobacteria; Sphingomonadales; Sphingomonadaceae. The record is from RNAcentral.
GGGCUCGUAGCUCAGCGGUUAGAGCUAGCCGCUCAUAACGGCUUGGUCGCGGGUUCGAAUCCUGCCGGGCCUACCA